This 365-nucleotide ribosomal RNA is filed under the name Bacillus sp. mrc49. RNAcentral's name for it is "bacterial LSU rRNA". It matches the Rfam family "Bacterial large subunit ribosomal RNA", at positions 2306 to 2670 of the family's 2925-position model. The record is from RNAcentral. Lineage: Bacteria; Bacillati; Bacillota; Bacilli; Caryophanales; Bacillaceae.
GAGCACGAAGGUUAGCUAAUCACGGUCGGACAUCGUGAGGUUAGUGCAAAGGCAUAAGCUAGCUUGACUGCGAGAGUGACGGCUCGAGCAGGUACGAAAGUAGGUCUUAGUGAUCCGGUGGUUCUGAAUGGAAGGGCCAUCGCUCAACGGAUAAAAGGUACUCCGGGGAUAACAGGCUGAUACCGCCCAAGAGUUCAUAUCGACGGCGGUGUUUGGCACCUCGAUGUCGGCUCAUCACAUCCUGGGGCUGAAGUAGGUCCCAAGGGUAUGGCUGUUCGCCAUUUAAAGUGGUACGCGAGCUGGGUUUAGAACGUCGUGAGACAGUUCGGUCCCUAUCUGCCGUGGGCGUUGGAAGAUUGAGAGGG